UAAUUGUCUCAAGUGAAGCAAGAAAACCCGCUGAACUUAAACAUAUCACUAAGCGGAGGAAAAGAAACUAACCAGGAUUCCCCCAGUAGCGGCGAGCGAACGGGGAUUAGCCCAGGCUUGAAAGGACGCCAGCGAGAUCUCGCGCGGGCGUCCGAUGUGGCCUGAGAGUCACAGCGAGGCCCGGCCCUGCGGGCAAGUCCAGUGGAAACUGGCGCCAGUGAGGGUGAUAGCCCCGUAAACCGCAGACUAUGGCCGGGCAUGGAGUUGCGACUCGUGGAGUAGUGCUGCACGGCAUUGCAGCAUGAAUCAGGUGGUAAACCCCAUCUAAGGCUAAAUACUCACGAGAGACCGAUAGCAAACAAGUACCGCGAGGGAAAGUUGAAAAGAACUUUGGAAAAAGAGUUAAAAGAGCCUGAAAUUGCAGAGGCGCAAGCCUUUCUGCCGCAUGUAUACUCGUAUGCUUUCUAAAAAAAGGCGGUAGCAAGGGCCCGUCUUGAAACACGGACCAAGGAGUCUGGCGCGUAGGCGAGUACUCUGGUGCAAAACCAUAAUGCGCAGCGAAAGCGAAUCUCUGCAGCUGCGAUUUAUUCAAAUCGCAGCGGUCGGAGGAGCGUGCGCUGCUCCGCGCAGCGUUCGGCAAGAGUCUACGCGCCGGGACCCGAAAGGUGGUGAACUAUGCCUGGGUAGGGUGAAGCCAGGGGAAAUUCUGGUGGAGGCCCGCAGCGAUACUAACGUGCAAAUUGUUCGUCAAAUCUGGGCAUAGGGGCGAAAGACCAAUCGAACCACCUAGUAGCUGGUUCCCUGCGAAGUUUCCCUCAGGAUAGCGGAGGCCCAUGCAGAACAGUUUGGUCUGGUAAAGCUGAUGAUUAGAGGCUUCCCGGGGCGCAACGCCCUGGACCUUUUCUCAAACUUUGAACGGGCCAGUUCCGUGGUUGCUUGACUGAACCACGGACUUGAAUGUGGGGCCUCUAGUGGGCUGUUACUGGUAAGCAGUACCGGCGAUGCGGAUUGAACCGGACGCGCGGGUUAAGGUGCCUAAGGACCGCUAAUUUAGAUCGAAAGGUGUGGGUUUAUCUUGACAGCCGGGCGGUGGUCAUGGAAGUUGAAACCCGCUAAGUAGUGUGUAACAACUAACCGGUCGAAUAAACCUGCCCUGAAAAUUGAUGGCGCUCAAGCGGUCCACCGAAACCCGGCCGCCGGCGCAACGCUAGGCGCCGGCGAGUAGCAGGGCGUGGGGGUCGCGUCGAAGCGUGGGCGCGAGCUCGCGUGGAGCGGCCUCUAGUGCAGAUCUUGGUGUUAGUAGCAAAUAGCAGGGUGCGAACCCCUGCGGCUGAAGUGGAGAAGGGUUCCGUGACAACAGCACAUGGUCACGGGUUAGUCGAUCCUAAGGCCGUGAGUAAUUGCAGUGAACGUGCGCUUUUUGCACAGGCCGAAAGGGAACCCGGCGAACAUUCCGGGACCAGGGUCCGCGUGCGGCAACGCGGCGCCCUCUGGGGACGCUAGGGCUGGCUUCGAGGAGAGUUUUCUCAUCUCCCUAACGCCGCAAUUCGGCUCGGAAACAGGUUGCCUGGAGAAGAGCCGAGUGCAGAGGAAAGGCGCCGGUAACCUGGCGUUCGAAACGCCGGUCUUAGCCCUUGAAAACCCGGGGGCAGCGGGCUCUGAUCGUACCCAUAACCGCAUCAGGUCUCCUAGGUGCACAGCCUCUAGCCAAUGGAAUAAUGCAGCUAAGGGAAUUCGGCAAAAUGGGUCCGAAACUUCGGGAUAAGGACUGGCUCUUGGGGCUGGGCGUACGCGGCCCCUGUACCUCUAAAUCUGGAGUCUUUCGCUUGUUUGCGAUCCGGCUUUCUUUUUUUAUAAAAAAGGGAGGCGGUGAGCCAGCCUGGGGGAGGCAAUAUUUCUGGAGGUUAGGGGGCUGCCCGCCAGAUCAGCCUACCAAGAACUGGAGCGGACAAGGGGAAUCCGACUGUUUAAUUAAAACAUAGCAUUGCGAUGGUCUUGGCGGAUGUUGACGCAAUGUGAUUUCUGCCCAGUGCUCUGAAUGUCACCGAGACGAGAUUCUCUCAAGCGCGGGUCAACGGCGGGAGUAACUAUGACUCUCUUAAGGUAGCCAAAUGCCUCGUCAUUUAAUUGGUGACGCGCAUGAAUGGAACAACGAGACUCCCACUGUCCCUAGCUGCGAUCCAGCGAAACCACAGCCAAGGGAACGGGCUUGGGAUUAUCAGCGGGGCAAGAAGACCCUGUUGAGCUUGACUCUAGUCUGACGCUGUGCGACAGCUCGGAGGGUGUAGCAUAAGCGGGAGCGCAAGCGACAGUGAAAUACCGCUACCUCUGACGCUGUUGCACUUACCCGGUUACUAGCAACGGGCUUCGGCCCUCGUGUAUACCGCAAGCUCCCGUCGCGCCACAGGUGGGCCUACCCGCUUGUGGCCAGGCAGGGCGAUGCUCGCCGGAGACACCGCCAGGUUGGGAGUUUGGCUGGGGCGGCACAUCUGUUAAACGAUAACACAGGUGUCCUAAGAUCAGCUCAGCAAGACCGGAAAUCUCGCGUUGCGCAUAAGGGCAAAAGCUGAUUUUAUUUCUAUUCUCAGUGGGAAUAGAACUUGUGAAAGCAUGGCCUAUCGAUCCUCUGGUCGUCGGGGCUUGACGCCAGAGGUGUCAGAAAAGUUACCACAGGGAUAACUGGCUUGUGGCAGCCAAGCGUACACAGCGACGUUGCUUUUUGAUUCUUCGAUGUCGGCUCUUCCUAUCCUUGCCUUGCACACGGGGCAAAUGGUGAGAUUGUUCACCUACUAGUAGGGAACGUGAGCUGGGUUUAGACCGUCGCGAGACAGGUUAGUUUUACCCUCCUGUGGUCUGAAGCUUUGACUAAGUCUAAGCUUGUCGUGUCGCUAUGGAAGUUGUGGCCAGUACGAGAGGAACGUCACAACCGAACCUCUGGUCCCGGACUCGGCCGAGAGGCCGGUGGUCCCAGGCUACGUUCGUACAAGUAAGGCCGAACGCCUCUUAAGCCUGAAACCAUUCCAGAACAUGAGCGACGCUAUCAGCAGUUGGCCUCUACGCUACGCGCUUGCGCGUGUGUGGCAUCGGGUGCUAGCACCUCAGGUCUCCUUGUGGGGCCUGUACAGGUGUAA
This 3131-nucleotide ribosomal RNA is filed under the name Pallasea sp. gam7.3. RNAcentral's name for it is "eukaryotic LSU rRNA". It matches the Rfam family "Eukaryotic large subunit ribosomal RNA". Lineage: Eukaryota; Metazoa; Arthropoda; Malacostraca; Amphipoda; Pallaseidae. The record is from RNAcentral.